Molecule: ribosomal RNA, 421 nt
Filed under: uncultured bacterium
Lineage: Bacteria
Description: partial 16S ribosomal RNA
Rfam family: Bacterial small subunit ribosomal RNA
Source: RNAcentral
AUAUGGGGCAGUGGGCGAAAGUCUGAUCGAGCCAUUCCGCGUGUGUGAAGAGGGUCUUCGUCUCGUAAAGCACUGUAUGUUGGGAGAAAGGGCAGUAUGAUACUACCGUGAUGUUUUGAUGUUACCGUCAGAAUAAGCUGCGGAUAACUUCGUUCCAUCAGCCUCGGUAAGACGAUGGGUGCAAGGGUUAAUCGGAAUUACUGUGCGUAAAGCGGGCGUCGGUGGUUUGUUAAGUUGGAAGUGAAAGCCCAGAGCCAAACCUGGGAACUGCUUUCAAAUCUGGCAAGAGAGAGUAUGGCAGAGGGUGGUGGAAUUUCCUGUGUCGCUGUGAAAUGCGUAGAUAUAGGAAGGAACCCCAGUCGCGAAGGCGACCACCUGGGCUAAUACUGACACUACGGUGCGAACGCGUGCAGACCAAACA